RNAcentral lists this ribosomal RNA (372 nucleotides) under uncultured organism. Its description in RNAcentral is "partial 16S ribosomal RNA". It matches the Rfam family "Bacterial small subunit ribosomal RNA", at positions 527 to 896 of the family's 1533-position model. The record is from RNAcentral.
GUAGGUGGCAAGCGUUGUCCGGAAUUAUUGGGCGUAAAGCGCGCGCAGGCGGUUCUUUAAGUCUGAUGUGAAAGCCCACGGCUCAACCGUGGAGGGUCAUUGGAAACUGGAGAACUUGAGUACAGAAGAGGAAAGCGGAGUUCCACGUGUAGCGGUGAAAUGCGUAGAGAUGUGGAGGAACACCAGUGGCGAAGGCGGCUUUCUGGUCUGUAACUGGCGCUGAGGCGCGAAAGCGUGGGGGAGCAAACAGGAUUAGAUACCCUGGUAGUCCACGCCGUAAACGAUGAGUGCUAAGUGUUAGGGGGUUUCCGCCCCUUAGUGCUGCAGCUAACGCAUUAAGCACUCCCGCCUGGGAGUACGGCCGCAAGGCUG